UACAGAGGGUGCAAGCGUUAAUCGGAAUUACUGGGCGUAAAGAGCACGUAGGUGGUUUGGUAAGUCAGAUGUGAAAUCCCCGGGCUUAACCUGGGAACUGCAUUUGAUACUGCCUGGCUAGAGUUUAGUAGAGGGAAGUGGAAUUCCACAUGUAGCGGUGAAAUGCGUAGAGAUGUGGAGGAACACCAGUGGCGAAGGCGGCUUCCUGGACUAAAACUGACACUGAGGUGCGAAAGCGUGGGGAGCAAACAGG
This 253-nucleotide ribosomal RNA is filed under the name uncultured bacterium. RNAcentral describes it as "partial 16S ribosomal RNA". It matches the Rfam family "Bacterial small subunit ribosomal RNA", at positions 524 to 776 of the family's 1533-position model. The record is from RNAcentral.